CACACAAACACCUCUCCGUCACCGUGAACACACUCUGUGUAUUUCUCAUCUACUUCACUGUUUCGUUUCUUGGUGAAGUUCUCAGCAGAAUCCAGACAGUGUCUGAUGUGUAAAUAAGUGUUUACAUGGCAGGUAAACACCUAUUUAUAUGUGAUGUAAACACCUGCUUGCACAAACACAUGUAUGGGGUGUUUUUGCUCAGCUGCUGUUGGUGUGUGUGUGUGUGUGUGUACUGAGGUGAGGGCUCAGCGAGUGCCUUAAGGUAGAUUUGUCCCCUGAGGAGAGCUCCUCUCACUGCACUGAGAGUCCCUGACUGAGAGCCUAUUAACCAGAACUCCCACUGCGACACACACACACACACACACACACACACACACACACGAUACCGACAUAAUAAUGACUUAGGACAGGAUGGAGGGAGAGUUAGAGAAAGACCUACUGCCACUUCCCUGCAGUAUUAAAGCUUUAUAUUCAUCUACAGGUUUCCCUCCAGGCGGCAAGGUGCAGCUGAACGACUUCACUGAGACUGAACUAUGAAUUGGCAUUGUUGCAGAAGGUUUACUCAUGAGCGGAAAGAUAAGAUUUAUACAUACAUCUAUAAUAGACCACAUUCCUAACGUGGCAUUUACAAGAUAGUGAGAGCAGCUCCUCCUUGCGCAAUUAAGAUAACACAGCUUUAUGGAGGAAAUCAAAACUUAAACCGGAGACCGGAAACCUGAACUAUGGCUGCUUGCUGAACACAGAAACACAGUACAGUCUGAUUAAAACAAAUACAAAUAUUGAUAAUGGAGAUACACUUCUUCACUUAGAUGUUAAGACCAUCAGGGUCAGGGGUGCAGGAAGAUCUGGAGCUGAUGCCAGCUGACACUGGGCAAGAGGCGAGGUACGCCAUGGAGUCUCCAGCUCAUAGCAGGGCACACAGAGACAUUCACACUCACAUUCACACCUACAGGUAAUUUAGAGUCACCAAUUAACCUCUUAAGUGCAUGUCUUUGGACUGUGGGAGGAAGCCGAAAUACCGGGAGAGAACAUGAGAAGUUCCAGUUCCAGUACAAGUUAAUUUUACCUCAAUGUUACUGAAUAGACUUUUAAUUAUUUCAGCUUUAGUUUUAUAAAUAUUGUUUAGUCUGUAAUGUUGGCAUGGCGACCAUGGUCUAAAAACAACAAUACCCAUAAGCCUAGGCUGUUGUUGCUAUGGAGAAGAGGCCAGUUGGAAGAGUGAAUCAUAGGGGAAGAUCCCAGCUGUUACUACUAGAUCCUUACUUUGACCAGGUACUGGUACUGCUGAGGGUUCCUCUCCAGGCCCAGGCGUCUCAGCAGGUCCUCCUCGCCUCCUUCGAUCAGCUGAUAGAAAAUGUGGAAGUUCCUCUCCCCGUGGUUCUGGUGGACCACGCGGGACUUCUCCAGCAGCGGCUCGAGUUGUCAUUACGCAGCGUCUUGGCAUUACCAAAGGCCUGUAGAGAGGACAGAGCGGGAUAAAGAAAGCAGAGGAGCGAUGAUUGACGGUGAUGACGAUGAAGAAAGUGUGAUGAAGACAGGACGACAGAUGAGAAGCACAGGGUUGGACUGCAGCAGGCGGUCUUUGACGGUUUGCACCUGAUCGCUGGCUGGACAGGUGAAGGCGUAGUACUGCAGGAUCUUCUUGGACGCCUCCGUCUUCCCGGCACCACUCUCCCCGGAGAUGAGGAUGCACUGGUCCUUCCUCUCCGUCCUCAAGGAACGUGCCUCGGCUCUCUUUCAAAUGACAGAUUGAAGCGACCACAUCUAAAAGAAGCAGAGAAAGGGGGAGAAAGCAGAGGGAUUUGAUCAUCCAGCCAGCUUGUGAACAAUAGCAGCGUGACCUUUACAUCGCCUCGGGUGUGCGCACGGAGCUCAGAUGUCACACUGUUUAUGUAAACCUCAUCUAACCUGCUGCUUGCAGUGCGCCAUACAGUGCUCAUGAUGGAAACACGGACGGAUAAUGACGAGAAAUUUAAAACAUAACAGCCAUUUAAGACGGCAAAAAAGACAAAGUGUUUCCUGUUUUAUGUUGCACCAGGACUACCUUAACAUUACAGAUACACUGAGCACUUACUAUAUAUUGGUCAAUAUCAAAAAUGAGGACCAAUCGUGUCCAUUAGCUUUAGAGAA
This is a long non-coding RNA of Larimichthys crocea (large yellow croaker), 2130 nucleotides long. RefSeq lists it as uncharacterized. NCBI's taxonomy places the organism in Eukaryota, Metazoa, Chordata, Actinopteri, Sciaenidae. The transcript is spliced from 5 exons. The record is from RefSeq and is a predicted model, not a curated record.